This 253-nucleotide ribosomal RNA is filed under the name uncultured bacterium. RNAcentral describes it as "partial 16S ribosomal RNA". It matches the Rfam family "Bacterial small subunit ribosomal RNA", at positions 524 to 776 of the family's 1533-position model. The record is from RNAcentral.
UACGGAGGGUGCAAGCGUUGCUCGGAAUUACUGGGCGUAAAGCGUGCGCAGGCGGCGCAGCAAGUCAGACGUGAAAGACCGGGGCUCAACCCCGGGGUGUCGUUUGAAACUGCUGUGCUUGAGUACGGGAGAGGGGUGUGGAAUUCCCAGUGUAGGAGUGAAAUCCGUAGAUAUUGGGAGGAACACCAGUGGCGAAGGCGACACCCUGGCCCGAGACUGACGCUCAGGCACGAAAGCAUGGGUAGCAAACAGG